RNAcentral lists this ribosomal RNA (301 nucleotides) under uncultured Clostridium sp. RNAcentral describes it as "bacterial SSU rRNA". It matches the Rfam family "Bacterial small subunit ribosomal RNA", at positions 338 to 656 of the family's 1533-position model. The record is from RNAcentral. Lineage: Bacteria; Bacillati; Bacillota; Clostridia; Eubacteriales; Clostridiaceae.
CCUACGGGGGGCAGCAGUGGGGAAUAUUGCGCAAUGGGGGAAACCCUGACGCAGCAACGCCGCGUGAAGGAUGAAGGUUUUCGGAUUGUAAACUUCUUUGAUGAGGGACGAUAAUGACGGUACCUCAAAAACAAGCCACGGCUAACUACGUGCCAGCAGCCGCGGUAAUACGUAGGUGGCAAGCGUUGUCCGGAUUUACUGGGUGUAAAGGGCGUGUAGGCGGGGAUGCAAGUCAGAUGUGAAAUUCCGGGGCUCAACCCCGGCGCUGCAUCUGAAACUGUAUCUCUUGAGUGCUGGAGAG